CACGUAGGGCGCGAGCGUUGUCCGGAAUUAUUGGGCGUAAAGAGCUCGUAGGCGGCCUGUUGCGUCCGCUGUGAAAGCCCGGGGCUUAACCCCGGGUCUGCAGUGGAUACGGGCAGGCUAGAGGUAGGUAGGGGAGAAUGGAAUUCCCGGUGUAGCGGUGAAAUGCGCAGAUAUCGGGAGGAACACCGGUGGCGAAGGCGGGUCUCUGGGCAAUAACUGACGCUGAGGAGCGAAAGCGUGGGGAGCGAACAGG
This 253-nucleotide ribosomal RNA is filed under the name uncultured bacterium. RNAcentral describes it as "partial 16S ribosomal RNA". It matches the Rfam family "Bacterial small subunit ribosomal RNA", at positions 524 to 776 of the family's 1533-position model. The record is from RNAcentral.